This 1220-nucleotide ribosomal RNA is filed under the name Tagalinus lifuana. RNAcentral's name for it is "SSU rRNA". It matches the Rfam family "Eukaryotic small subunit ribosomal RNA", at positions 32 to 1195 of the family's 1831-position model. Lineage: Eukaryota; Metazoa; Arthropoda; Insecta; Coleoptera; Tenebrionidae. RNAcentral also lists the same sequence under 2 other names. The record is from RNAcentral.
UUGUCUCAAAGAUUAAGCCAUGCAUGUGUCAGUACAAGCCAAAUUAAGGUGAAACCGCGAAAGGCUCAUUAAAUCAGUUAUGGUUCCUUAGAUCGUACCCACACUUACUUGGAUAACUGUGGUAAUUCUAGAGCUAAUACAUGCAAACAGAGCUCCGACCGGAGACGGAAGGAGCGCUUUUAUUAGAUCAAAACCAAUCGGUGGCGGUUUACUCCGUCAUCGUACAACUUGGUGACUCUGAAUAACUUUACGCUGAUCGCACGGUCUCGCACCGGCGACGCAUCUUUCAAAUGUCUGCCUUAUCAACUGUCGAUGGUAGGUUCUGCGCCUACCAUGGUUGUAACGGGUAACGGGGAAUCAGGGUUCGAUUCCGGAGAGGGAGCCUGAGAAACGGCUACCACAUCCAAGGAAGGCAGCAGGCGCGCAAAUUACCCACUCCCGGCACGGGGAGGUAGUGACGAAAAAUAACGAUACGGGACUCAUCCGAGGCCCCGUAAUCGGAAUGAGUACACUCUAAACCCUUUAACGAGGAUCAAUUGGAGGGCAAGUCUGGUGCCAGCAGCCGCGGUAAUUCCAGCUCCAAUAGCGUAUAUUAAAGUUGUUGCGGUUAAAAAGCUCGUAGUCGAAUCUGUGUCCCGCGCCGCCGGUUCAUCGUUCGCGGUGUUAACUGGCGUGCCGCGGGACGUCCUGCCGGUGGGCUAGCUCGAGAGGGCGGCCCAACUCAAUCCCGCCGCGGUGCUCUUCAUUGAGUGUCGAGGUGGGCCGGCACGUUUACUUUGAACAAAUUAGAGUGCUUAAAGCAGGCUAAAACUUCGCCUGAAUACUGUGUGCAUGGAAUAAUGGAAUAGGAUCUCGGUUCUAUUUUGUUGGUUUUCGGAACCCCGAGGUAAUGAUUAAUAGGAACGGAUGGGGGCAUUCGUAUUGCGACGUUAGAGGUGAAAUUCUUGGAUCGUCGCAAGACGGACAGAAGCGAAAGCAUUUGCCAAAAACGCUUUCAUUGAUCAAGAACGAAAGUUAGAGGUUCGAAGGCGAUCAGAUACCGCCCUAGUUCUAACCAUAAACGAUGCCAGCUAGCGAUCCGCCGACGUUCCUCCGAUGACUCGGCGGGCAGCUUCCGGGAAACCAAAGCUUUUGGGUUCCGGGGGAAGUAUGGUUGCAAAGCUGAAACUUAAAGGAAUUGACGGAAGGGCACCACCAGGAGUGGAGCCUGCGGCUUAAUU